This 226-nucleotide ribosomal RNA is filed under the name Clostridioides sp. ZZV14-6104. Its description in RNAcentral is "partial 23S ribosomal RNA". It matches the Rfam family "Bacterial large subunit ribosomal RNA", at positions 1252 to 1477 of the family's 2925-position model. Lineage: Bacteria; Bacillati; Bacillota; Clostridia; Peptostreptococcales; Peptostreptococcaceae. The record is from RNAcentral.
GAAGCAUGACCGUAAGGACAUGUGGACAGUAUGGGAGUGAGAAUGUUGGCAUGAGUAGCGAGAUGUGGGUGAGAAUCCCACAGGCCGUAAACCCAAGGGUUCCAGGGGAAGGUUCGUCCGCCCUGGGUUAGUCGGGACCUAAGCUGAGGCCGAAAGGCGUAGGUGAUGGACAACAGGUUGAUAUUCCUGUACUACCGAUAACCGUUUGAGAGAUGGGAUGACACAG